Molecule: ribosomal RNA, 484 nt
Filed under: uncultured bacterium
Lineage: Bacteria
Description: partial 16S ribosomal RNA
Rfam family: Bacterial small subunit ribosomal RNA
Source: RNAcentral
AUUGAACGCUGGCGGCAGGCCUAACGCAUGCAAGUCGAGCGGAUGAAGGGAGCUUGCUCCUGGAUUCAGCGGCGGACGGGUGAGUAAUGCCUAGGAAUCUGCCUGGUAGUGGGGGAUAACGUCCGGAAACGGGCGCUAAUACCGCAUGCGUCCUGAGGGAGAAAGUGGGGGAUCUUCGGACCUCACGCUAUCAGAUGAGCCUAGGUCGGAUUAGCUAGUUGGUGGGGUAAAGGCCUACCAAGGCGACGAUCCGUAACUGGUCUGAGAGGAUGAUCAGUCACACUGGAACUGAGACACGGUCCAGACUCCUACGGGAGGCAGCAGUGGGGAAUAUUGGACAAUGGGCGAAAGCCUGAUCCAGCCAUGCCGCGUGUGUGAAGAAGGUCUUCGGAUUGUAAAGCACUUUAAGUUGGGAGGAAGGGCAGUAAGUUAAUACCUUGCUGUUUUGACGUUACCAACAGAAUAAGCACCGGCUAACUUCGUG